Molecule: ribosomal RNA, 880 nt
Filed under: uncultured bacterium
Lineage: Bacteria
Description: bacterial SSU rRNA
Rfam family: Bacterial small subunit ribosomal RNA
Source: RNAcentral
GAGCAAUCUGCCCUUGACUCUGGGAUAACUGCGGGAAACUGUAGCUAAUACCGGAUACGACACCUUGGGGCAUCCCGGGGUGUGGAAAGAAUUUUGGUCAAGGAUGAGCUCGCGGCCUAUCAGCUAGUUGGUGAGGUAAUGGCUCACCAAGGCGACGACGGGUAGCCGGCCUGAGAGGGUGACCGGCCACACUGGAACUGAGACACGGUCCAGACUCCUACGGGAGGCAGCAGUGGGGAAUAUUGCACAAUGGGCGAAAGCCUGAUGCAGCAACGCCGCGUGAGGGAUGAAGGCCUUCGGGUUGUAAACCUCUUUUAGCAGGGAAGAAGCGAAAGUGACGGUACCUGCAGAAAAAGCACCGGCUAACUACGUGCCAGCAGCCGCGGUAAUACGUAGGGUGCAAGCGUUGUCCGGAAUUAUUGGGCGUAAAGAGCUCGUAGGCGGUUUGUCGCGUCUGCUGUGAAAAUCCAAGGCUCAACCUUGGACCUGCAGUGGGUACGGGCAGACUAGAGUGCGGUAGGGGAGAUGGGAAUUCCUGGUGUAGCGGUGGAAUGUGCAGAUAUCAGGAGGAACACCAAUGGCGAAGGCACAUCUCUGGGCCGUAACUGACGCUGAGGAGCGAAAGCGUGGGGAGCGAACAGGAUUAGAUACCCUGGUAGUCCACGCCGUAAACGGUGGGUGCUAGUUGUGGGCCACAUUCCACGUGGUCCGUGACGAAGUUAACACAUUAAGCACCCCGCCUGGGGAGUACGGUCGCAAGACUAAAACUCAAAGGAAUUGACGGGGGCCCGCACAAGCGGCGGAGCAUGCGGAUUAAUUCGAUGCAACGCGAAGAACCUUACCAAGGCUUGACAUAUAGAGGAAACGUGCAGAAAUGUAC